This 29-nucleotide non-coding RNA is filed under the name Bombyx mori (domestic silkworm). Lineage: Eukaryota; Metazoa; Arthropoda; Insecta; Lepidoptera; Bombycidae. The record is from RNAcentral.
AGGGAAAUGAUAACUCCCCAUAGGAUCGC